Hylaeus volcanicus is the source of this 1193-nucleotide long non-coding RNA. RefSeq lists it as uncharacterized. The transcript is spliced from 3 exons. Lineage: Eukaryota; Metazoa; Arthropoda; Insecta; Hymenoptera; Colletidae. The record is from RefSeq and is a predicted model, not a curated record.
UUGUCGUUCUCAACGACACACUGGAAUGAAUUGCAACAAAAAACUUGCGAAUUAAGCAAAAUUGCUACGAUAUCACGAUCGACGGCCAUUUCGUACAAUUGUUGUGUUGAACCCACUGACGCAAUACAUCGAACGAAUGUGUAGGAAGUCGAAUCACGCAAUCUAUGCCCAAUAUGGACGUGCGUAGAUCAACCUGGAUCAACCGACACGUUUCCUCGAGGAGGAACAAGAGUAACACCACUGAUGAUUGAAAGCACGAUGACGACGACACGGGUUUGAGUGGCGCUCGCCCGCGUCGCCGUCUCGUCGAUCCUCUCCCCGCAUCUCCAAAAACACGAGUAGGACAACGCCACGGUGAAAUACACUAAAAAUACGUAGAAUCGUUGGCACGCAACACCUCUCUGCAGACUUUAAAAUGUUACCCGCGUACCUUAGGGGCAGUUUCUUCCGGUAUAACGCAUCAAGCGCAUCAUACAAGAUUUCUUUAACGUUUCGGACAUUUUUUCCCAAUAAAUAACGUUCAAAUAAAAUAUAGAACCAAAGACAUAUAAAUUCUGUAACGUUUCGAUUAAAGUUCGAAAGCGUCAUCCAUCAUUCCAUAAUCGCGGUAAGUUCAUUUUAGGAUAACGAUCGAUCGAAUAAAUUGGUAACGUUAAUCGAGACGAAGUUAUAAAUAAAUCUGAUGUACAUUCACCGUAAACGAGUACGAUUUAUUCAUAACUUGUUUUAUAGCGAUCUGUAUAUCCUAUAAAAAGGAGUAAGUUUCGUUAAUUUUUAAUUAAAUCCUACAUAUGUGCAAUCCUAUGUAUGCGCCUAUACGGUUCAUGAUAACGCCAAGUACCCUGCGCUUUUACAAUUAAUCGUACAUUAUUCGUGUUUUCAAUGCUCUCCAACUAAAUUUCAUAAGUAAUUUCUUCUCAUUUUACAUUUGAUAAAUUUCUCACCGAUGAGCAAAUAAAAAUUAAUUCAUCGAUGCUGCACUUACGAAAUUUCAUGCUAGGCAGAAACAAUGAUACAAAUACUUAUUUACAAUUGUUAAUACAUCGUUGUAGGAGUAAGAUAAUAAAAUAUGUGAACGAAACCUAUGUCAACUUAAUAAAUUGUAUGAAUACAUCGAGUUCUGUGAUGAUUUUGACAGGCUGAGUGAUUCAAUGUUGAGGUUAGUUCACGUAUUUUGUGAUUAAUUUCAAACU